UCUGUCUGGUGUUGGGUAGAUCAUUGACUCCUGAGUGUCCUUCUUCUCCUCCAUAUCCUUCUAAACCAUUCACCUGAGGCUAAAUCCUUUGGCUCUUGUGAAGAAGGCUAGUGUUGUCAAGAAUGGUGUACCAUCACUGUUUCCUUGUUCCUGUCUCUUAAAGGUGUGGUUACGGUUGCCAAGGCAACAGGGUGAAUUAACUCAUCUCUGGUCCAUUGAUUGCUGUAAUUAUAUUUAUAAUCACUGGAGCCUCUCAAUGCUUAUCCUGUUCUUAUUGCAUGGGAAUAUUACCAGAAGAACAUGAAUAAUUCAUUUGUUAUUUAUGAUUGGGAAAAUGAAAGACUACUGAUAUCGGAGAGUUAAUAGACAUUCUUGAGACAAUUAGACCAUGUGAUCAAUUAAUGACAGUGUCUAGGUUAGUCAUGAUCCCUACCUACAAGAACCUCCGCAGCUGAAACUGUGUUUAUUGACUUGGGUGUGAUUAUCACCAGGACACGGAAGCAACAAUUUGCAGCAAAGAGCUCUGAUGUAGAGGCCCGUACAAGAAGCUAAUGGAUAGAGAAUGAGUCACUAUUGGUGAAUGGCUCCACUAAAGCUGCUGAAGAAUAGAUAAAUAGCUGAACACUAAAUAUGUGGUGUUAUUGUCUGAAUAUUUUUAUCACUGCGAAUAAUUGCAGGCCUCAAAUAUAUCCUAAUAAAUGUAUUAAACAGCUUUGUGUUUUGUUUGAUGGUAUUUUAAGGCAGUUUGUGAUCUACCCAGUAA
Long non-coding RNA from Amphimedon queenslandica, 763 nucleotides. RefSeq lists it as uncharacterized. The transcript has 6 exons. The record is from RefSeq and is a predicted model, not a curated record. Lineage: Eukaryota; Metazoa; Porifera; Demospongiae; Haplosclerida; Niphatidae.